CCAGACUCCUACGGGAGGCAGCAGUGGGGGAUAUUGCACAAUGGGGGGAACCCUGAUGCAGCGACGCCGCGUGGGUGAAGGAGCGUUUCGGCGCGUAAAGCCCUAUCGGCAGGGAAGAAGGAGGACGGUACCUGACUAAGAAGCCCCGGCUAACUACGUGCCAGCAGCCGCGGUAAUACGUAGGGGGCUAGCGUUAUCCGGAAUUACUGGGCGUAAAGGGUGCGUAGGUGGUUUCUUAAGUCAGAGGUGAAAGGCUACGGCUCAACCGUAGUAAGCCUUUGAAACUGGGGAACUUGAGUGCAGGAGAGGAGAGUGGAAUUCCUAGUGUAGCGGUGAAAUGCGUAGAUAUUAGGAGGAACACCAGUUGCGAAGGCGGCUCUCUGGACUGUAACUGACACUGAGGCACGAAAGCGUGGGGAGCAAACAGGAUUAGAUACCCCAGUA
This 444-nucleotide ribosomal RNA is filed under the name uncultured bacterium. Its description in RNAcentral is "partial 16S ribosomal RNA". It matches the Rfam family "Bacterial small subunit ribosomal RNA", at positions 331 to 792 of the family's 1533-position model. The record is from RNAcentral.